GGGGCUGACUCGGUUUCGACCGUGGUCGAGCCGUGGCCAGGGGAGCGUGCCGAGGGUGCUCGCGCGACCUCGAUAAUCCCACGCGGGAACCAUUAAUUGCCAAGAGCAACGUGUCCCUCGAGGACAUGACCAUCGCAGCUUAAUAACCUGCGACGAUCCGCCUCCGAUGCCUCGUAGGAGGGUCGUGAUCGUCAUCACGAGGCUCAACCCCGAAGGCACUGACCGCCGGGCCCAGGGGGAAAUCUAACGGUGGUAUGGAUGCGGAAGCUGCCUGGUUCUGGAGCACCGCAUCCGAGCUCAUCCGGAACCUACGCACGUAGAGCCCCGAGCGACGGGAUCGCGGGACCCGGGUUCGACUCCCGGCAGCUCCACUU
RNAcentral lists this transfer-messenger RNA (374 nucleotides) under Nitriliruptoraceae. RNAcentral's name for it is "CSSed11-175R1 sp007136095 Standard tmRNA". It matches the Rfam family "transfer-messenger RNA". From Rfam's summary of the family: Bacterial tmRNA, also known as 10Sa RNA or SsrA, is named for its dual tRNA and mRNA-like properties. Its role is to liberate the mRNA from a stalled ribosome. Lineage: Bacteria; Bacillati; Actinomycetota; Nitriliruptoria; Nitriliruptorales. RNAcentral also lists the same sequence under 1 other name. The record is from RNAcentral.